Molecule: long non-coding RNA, 213 nt
Filed under: Brassica napus (rape)
Lineage: Eukaryota; Viridiplantae; Streptophyta; Magnoliopsida; Brassicales; Brassicaceae
Description: long non-coding RNA (BNAP_LNC018670)
Source: RNAcentral
GGGUCAUUUUCAUAUAUACAUAUAUAACAUUAUCAUAACUUUUAAAAAGUAUUAUAACCACAUUUUCUCACUAAGUGCAUUUCCUUUUCAAAUCUUUAUAAUCUUAGGUGUAACUGAAAACAGGUAGCUGAUAUUUCCAUAUCUACCGAUUCUUUGCCAAAAGAAUAAAAAAUAAAAUACUCAGUUGAAACGUAUAUGAAAUGACUUUGAAUC